Molecule: ribosomal RNA, 468 nt
Filed under: uncultured bacterium
Lineage: Bacteria
Description: partial 16S ribosomal RNA
Rfam family: Bacterial small subunit ribosomal RNA
Source: RNAcentral
GACGAACGCUGGCGGCGUGCUUAACACAUGCAAGUCGAACGGUGAAGCUCCAGCUUGCUGGAGUGGAUCAGUGGCGAACGGGUGAGUAACACGUGAGCAACCUGCCCCUGACUCUGGAAUAAGCGCUGGAAACGGCGUCUAAUACUGGAUACGAGAAGGGUCCGCAUGGGCACUUUCUGGAAAGUUUUUCGGUUGGGGAUGGGCUCGCGGCCUAUCAGCUUGUUGGUGAGGUAAUGGCUCACCAAGGCGACGACGGGUAGCCGGCCUGAGAGGGCGACCGGCCACACUGGGACUGAGACACGGCCCAGACUCCUACGGGAGGCAGCAGUGGGGAAUAUUGCACAAUGGGCGAAAGCCUGACGCAGCGACGCCGCGUGAGGGAUGACGGCCUUCGGGUUGUAAACCUCUUUCAGCAGGGAAGAAGCGAAAGUGACGGUACCUGCAGAAGAAGCACCGGCUAACUACGUG